UUUCAACAGCUUCCCUUGUGCCUGGGUGAGGUCUUGUGUGACCACCAUAAAGCAAUCACAGAUCUGGACCCUUCAUGAGUAUAUGAAGCUCUUCAGUAAUUCUUGAUUCUGCUUGUCUCCACUGUGUUUCCCUACUUCAGCCUGAGCCUUUAGGCACCCUUACUCACAAUACUCUGACAGAGGUGACUUCCUAAGCUUGCUUCCAGGCAGCUAAGAAACAAUAAUGCUUGUGGCUGGGCCAAAUGGUGUGUAGCUGUGAAUCUUAUAAAGCUGUGAUGCCCUUCCAGACUCCUCGUGCUGGCAGGGCAAUGCUGUUCUAGGUGUCUGUGCUGACAGACGGAUUCCUUCUGAGCCCAGUGUGCUUGGCCUUGGCAGAUCACUGCGUUGGAGCAGAGUCAAGACCCUGGGAGACGGACAGUCUGUUGGGUCAGGUUGCUCCCAUCUGGAGUGGCAGUACUUGGCCUGCCUCAGCAGUGGCUCUCCUCUCUGAUACCAGGAGUUCCUGUUUCUCACAUCUCCUUUCACAGAGUUUGGCACCUCUCUCUUUUGAAUGUUACAAAAUUCAGUAAUUCCACCAGGAGGUAAUGAAGGAAACAGCUUUGUCCUUGGAUUUUGAGACUACUUGGAUUCUUUUAAUCCCUUCAAGAUGAGGGCUGUAAGGAGACACUGGCUUUUGCGUUCAUUGCUAGAUACAGCAUCACUUGGUUGAAAUCACCUGGAGAGUAACCUAACAGUCUAGUGUGGCAGAGACAGACUCCUGAAGCUGGCGAAGAUGAUGCAGAAUAUCACGUGGUGUUUAUUGUAAAAGCUUUACAAUGUGACUUCUCCCAGAAUAUUCAAACAAGGCUCAGUUAGCACUGCAUGCUGUUGUUGAAAAGCUGAGUCAACUGAAAAACAGUUUGGCAAAACAUACUGCUUAUUGAAAACUGCUUUAUCUUAUGCAGUAUUACCAAUAUGAA
Long non-coding RNA from Athene cunicularia (burrowing owl), 959 nucleotides. RefSeq lists it as uncharacterized. NCBI's taxonomy places the organism in Eukaryota, Metazoa, Chordata, Aves, Strigiformes, Strigidae. The record is from RefSeq and is a predicted model, not a curated record. The transcript has 3 exons.